AUUGAACGCUGGCGGCAGGCCUAACACAUGCAAGUCGAACGGUAACAGGAAGAAGCUUGCUUCUUUGCUGACGAGUGGCGGACGGGUGAGUAAUGUGUGGGAAACUGCCUGAUGGAGGGGGAUAACUACUGGAAACGGUAGCUAAUACCGCAUAACGUCGCAAGACCAAAGAGGGGGACCUACUGGCCGCUUGCCAUCGGAUGUGCCCAGAUGGGAAUAGCUAGUAGGUGGGGUAACGUCUCACCUAGGUGACGAUCCCUAGCUGGUCUGAGAGGAUGACCAGCCACCCUGGAACUGAGCCAGCGUCCAUGCUCCUACGGGAGGCCGCAGUGGGGAAUAUUGCACAAUGGGCGCGAGCCUGAUGCAGCCAUGCCGCGUGUAUGAAGACGGCCUUCGGGUUGUAAAGUACUUUCAGCGGGGAGGAAGGGAGUAAGGUUAAUACCUUUGCUCAUUGACGUUACCCGCAGAAGAAGCACCGGCUAACUCCGUG
Molecule: ribosomal RNA, 490 nt
Filed under: uncultured bacterium
Lineage: Bacteria
Description: partial 16S ribosomal RNA
Rfam family: Bacterial small subunit ribosomal RNA
Source: RNAcentral